This 723-nucleotide long non-coding RNA is filed under the name Vigna radiata. RNAcentral's name for it is "long non-coding RNA (VRAD_LNC007208)". The record is from RNAcentral. Lineage: Eukaryota; Viridiplantae; Streptophyta; Magnoliopsida; Fabales; Fabaceae.
AACCCAACUGAACAUCUUUUCUUUUUUAUUUCCCCUUUGUUUACACAAAACAACAUAAGAUGAAACAAACUAACAACCCUUCUUCCUGUUGAAAAUGAAACCUCGAAUCAGCUUCCAAAGGCAACCAUAAAGGGGGAGAGACGAGUUUUGUGUUGAACCGGAUGCAGUGGAUUUGGCUAAUCGAAGAGACGUUACAGUUUUCAGUUUUAGGGUUUGAGAAGCUUACAGCCGGAGGAUUAGUCUCUUGUUGUUCUUAAACAGCAACUAAAGCAGCCCAUCCAUACACUGAAUCUUCUUCAAAACCAGAGAGCCACCAUCACCGUCAUUCCUCUCAUUUUUCCCAUUCCUAUUUCCUAAGACAAGCUCUGCAAGAAUCAACCUUUUCCCAACAACAACCGCAAAAACACAACCACCCUCACUCUGCAUUUCACCUUCCUUCAUUGAGUUCAUUCUCAAUUUCUGAAACAAUCCUAACCCUGAAUCUAGCCCCGAACCCAAACCCAAACCCCAACUCUCGGAUGCGCUGUUCCUAAACCUCCUCCUCAUGACCAAAAGAUACUCCAUUCGAGAACGACAUCGUUCGGGGCGUCGUCAUCGUUGUCGGUGUCUGCUGAUAGGGAAAAGAGGGUUCCAGAGUUAAUGUCUCAACCUUUGAGUUUACAGCGGAAGUGAAUUAGGCAGUGGAGGAGUCUGGAAACAAAUUCCCUUUAAUUAGGAAUAAAU